This is a long non-coding RNA of Callithrix jacchus (white-tufted-ear marmoset), 472 nucleotides long. RefSeq lists it as uncharacterized. The record is from RefSeq and is a predicted model, not a curated record. NCBI's taxonomy places the organism in Eukaryota, Metazoa, Chordata, Mammalia, Primates, Cebidae.
AGUAGCUGGGACUACAGAUGUGCACCACUAUGCUCAACUAAUUUUUCUUUUCCUUUUUUUCCAGAGAGAUGGGGUUUCACCACGUUGCCCAGGCUGGUCUCCAACUCCUGGUCUCAAGCAAUCUGCCUGCCUUAGCCUCCAAAGGUGCUGAGACUACUGAUGUGAGCCACCACAGCCUGGCAGAAAUCACCUUUUUAAUAGAAAGGAAAGAAGAAAGAGAAAAAAAGGAGUGAAGGAGAGGAAGAAAGAGGAAGAAAAAGAGGGAGAGAGAACGGGAAUGUUGCUUUAUUCUAAAAAUGGGUAUUAAUAAUGGCCGAUCAAUAUUUUGUAUAUUUAAAGUGGAGAAUGUAUAUUUUGUGUAUUUUUAUUCUUACAUAUUACUUAGAUGCCAAGCACCAAGUCAUUAUUCUCAACACGUUUGUUAAUCUGUGCAACCGAAACAAAUAAAAAUGUGCUGUAUGUCCACCAUCCA